Molecule: non-coding RNA, 100 nt
Organism: Populus trichocarpa (black cottonwood)
Lineage: Eukaryota; Viridiplantae; Streptophyta; Magnoliopsida; Malpighiales; Salicaceae
Source: Rfam
UAAUCCAUCUCAAAUAAAUUCUUAUCUAGUUGUGGCAGAUUCAUAUAUAACUGCUUAGAAUCACUCGUUGCAGGUUAUAAACAUACACUGAGAUUAGUAA